UGGGGAAUAUUGGACAAUGGGCGCAAGCCUGAUCCAGCCAUGCCGCGUGUGUGAAGAAGGCCUUCGGGUUGUAAAGCACUUUUGUCCGGAAAGAAAGCGAAUCGGCGAAUACCCGGUUUGGAUGACGGUACCGGAAGAAUAAGCACCGGCUAACUUCGUGCCAGCAGCCGCGGUAAUACGAAGGGUGCAAGCGUUACUCGGAAUUACUGGGCGUAAAGAGUGCGUAGGCGGUUUUCUAAGUUCGGUGUGAAAUCUCCCGGCUUAACUGGGAGGGUGCGCCGAAGACCGGGAAGCUGGAGUGUGGGAAAGGCAGGCGGAAUUCCUGGUGUCGCGGUGAAAUGCGUAGAUAUCAGGAGGAACACCGGCGGUGUAGACGGCUUGCUAGACCAUAACUGACGCUGAGGCACGAAAGCGUGGGUAGCAAACA
This 427-nucleotide ribosomal RNA is filed under the name uncultured bacterium. RNAcentral's name for it is "bacterial SSU rRNA". It matches the Rfam family "Bacterial small subunit ribosomal RNA", at positions 355 to 774 of the family's 1533-position model. The record is from RNAcentral.